This 421-nucleotide ribosomal RNA is filed under the name uncultured Methanomicrobiales archaeon. RNAcentral's name for it is "bacterial SSU rRNA". It matches the Rfam family "Archaeal small subunit ribosomal RNA", at positions 918 to 1338 of the family's 1478-position model. The record is from RNAcentral. Lineage: Archaea; Methanobacteriati; Methanobacteriota; Methanomicrobia; Methanomicrobiales.
CCGGGAAACUCACCAGAUAAGACAGCUGAAUGAUAGUCGGGCUGAAGACUCUACUUGACUAGCUGAGAGGAGGUGCAUGGCCGUCGUCAGUUCGUACUGUGAAGCAUCCUGUUAAGUCAGGCAACGAGCGAGACCCACGCCAACAGUUGCCAGCUCGUCCUCCGGGAUGGUGGGGACACUGUUGGGACCGCCUCUGCUAAAGAGGAGGAAGGAAUGGGCAACGGUAGGUCAGCAUGCCCCGAAUUAUCUGGGCUACACGCGGGCUACAAUGGGUGGGACAAUGGGUAUCGACACCGAAAGGUGAAGGCAAUCUCCUAAACCCAUCCGUAGUUCGGAUUGUGGGCUGCAACUCGCCCACAUGAAGCUGGAAUCUGUAGUAAUCGUGUCUCAAAAUGGCACGGUGAAUAUGUCCCUGCUCCUU